Long non-coding RNA from Myotis brandtii (Brandt's bat), 2445 nucleotides. RefSeq lists it as uncharacterized. The transcript is spliced from 2 exons. The record is from RefSeq and is a predicted model, not a curated record. Lineage: Eukaryota; Metazoa; Chordata; Mammalia; Chiroptera; Vespertilionidae.
GUGAAUGAUGUUAUAAAUAUCCAAGUGGCCCUGGGCAGGAAAAAGGUUCCCCACCCCUGGUCUACAGCUACCCACAAACCAGACAUGCAGGAAGGCCUCGCUGCUUAAUGGCAAACCUGACUUGCCAGAGCACUUCCAAAAUGAACACUAAAGCUGUCAGUGAGGGAGGGACCCAAAGCCUACUAGUCAUGACAGGUACCUAUCAUGACAACUAGUCACAAUUUCCUGAGCAUCCAGGAAGGGCCAGGCUCUGUACUUCUUAUAUGCUUAUGAGACUAUUUAGUCCUGACAAAACUCAGCAAAGAGGACUUUAUUAAUCCAAUUUUGCAGAUAAAAAAAAUCUGACGCCCCAAAUGGCUUUGCCCAAGGUCUCAGAACGAGUUAAGUGGCAGAGUGCAGCUUGAAAAUUCUCUUGCUCCAAACCAUCCCCCCUUUCUACUAUAUCCAUUCUUUGAUUUGAGAAAAUCAAAAAGGGAAGUUUUAUUAUUAAAAGCUAAAGGUAUAUCCUAUAGGCCAAAGGUUUAUAAAUGUCUAUUUACCAAACUUAACUAUGUCUAUGAGUAGUUGUGAGAGGAGUGUUUAUAAAUGCAAGGAAUCUCGUCUCGUGCCCCCGGACUGCAGUCCUGGGGGAGCACAGCCACGCCUGCCAGUGUGCUCAGCACCGGAGCGGGGACCAGCUGGAAGGCUCCACUCGAGGUGCUUUCCUGUUACAUAAUUUCCAACAUUAAAAGUACAGCUGUGUUGGUUUUUAAAAAUAUUUAUUGUGAAAUACUGCAAACAUACAGAAACAAAACACAAACAACACACAAGUAAUUAUUACCCAUCUUAAAGAGAGGUUAAAUAAUCUGCCAUAUUUGUUUUAGCUCAUUUGUCUUUUUUUUUAAAAGUGAAACUAAAAAAAGACUGAAGCCAGAUCCCCGGUCCCUCCCUCCACUAAAAUUAAAACCACCCUGAAGUUGCUUGCUAUGCUGGUAUGAAUAUUCAUGCAAGUGACAUAUUACUUCCUGUAUAUUUCAACUUUUAAUAAAGGAUUUCACACUGAUCUGUACUAUUUUACAAGGCUUGCUUGUUUUACUCCAAUUAUACACGAGAUUAAUUCACGUAAUUCUUUCACUCAUUUUACUACUGUAUACUUUUUCAUUACACAAAUGUCAUGGUGUUGUUUUUUUAUUCAUUCUCCCGUAAAUGGACACUUAUAUUGCUUCCAAUGUUUCACUAAAACAAAAACACCUGAAUGAACAUUCUUGUAUCACUUCCUGGGCACUUGUGCAAAAAUUUCACUAGAGGAUGUAAGAGAAAUAGUAUCACUGGACUUCUACUUAAUUAGCCGUCUUCCAAUUGUCCUUCCAUGUGGUUAUGCCCAUUUAAUCACCCCAGCGGGGAGCAGCUCCUGAUGUUUCAUAUCUCACCCAUACUUAGCUCUGUUGAACUUUUUAAUUUUUACCAAUCUGAUGAAUAUGAUAUGGAUCUCAGUGUUUUAAUUUGCAUUUCCCUUAUUUUCAGUAAGUCUGAGUGCAUAUUCCUAUGUUAAUUAGCCAUUAAGGUCUUUUUUUUUUCCGUGAAUUCCUUGGAGUUCAGAUCCUUUGCCCAUUAGUUUUUUUUUUUCAGUUGCAUUAUCUUUUUUCUUACUGAUUCAGAGGAAUUUUAAAAAUAAAUCCAGGGCAUUAAUCCUGAUUCAGGACAUUAUUCCUUUAUAGUUUCACAUAUUGCAAAUAUCUUCUCCCAGUUGGAGGCUUAUCAUUUAUUGAUUUUUUUAAAUGAUGCAAUAUUUGUCCAUACCAAAAAUGUGUAAUUAUUGAGUUAUAAAGCAUAAUAAUGAAAACAAAUACUCACGAGUUCAACUGAAAAACCAAAAUAUUACCAAUAACAUUAAAACUAAAAGUGUACUCAUCCCAUUUCACCCCAUCCUCGGGCUCUCCUAAACUCUAUAUGCUCAAUUUUAUGUUUAUCAUUCCUCUGCUUUUAAAAAGAAAUUUAAUUUUUUGCCAUCUGUCUCUCUAAAUCAUUUUUAGUUUUGUUUUUGAGCUUUGUAAAAACAGCAUCAUUCUACAUGCAGCCUUCUGCUAUUUGAUUUGUCCUCUGAAUGUUUUGUUUCUAAAACUGAUCCGUGAUAUCACAUGUAGCUGUAAUUCAGUUAUUUUCACUGCUAUAAAAUAUUCUAUUCCAGAAUGUAACCAGUUUCCUGUAGAUGGACAGAACCACUGAGUAAUUUCCAUGGUAUGGGGUUUGUUUGUUUUUUUGCUAUUAUGAAAAUGCAAUAAACAUUCUUUGGCGUGUCUCCUGGUUUACAGGUACAAGCAUUUCUCCAAGGCACAUGACUAGGGGUGGAAUUGCUGGGUUGCAGGAUAGGCACGUGAAUUGCAAGACAAUUCCAAAGUAGUUGGGCCACAUGACUUAUCUUCUCCUUUAUGUCUUUCAACAUACAGAAAGUUGUGUGUGUUUUUU